RNAcentral lists this ribosomal RNA (486 nucleotides) under uncultured bacterium. Its description in RNAcentral is "partial 16S ribosomal RNA". It matches the Rfam family "Bacterial small subunit ribosomal RNA", at positions 30 to 507 of the family's 1533-position model. The record is from RNAcentral.
AUUGAACGCUGGCGGCAUGCCUUACACAUGCAAGUCGAACGGCAGCACGGGUGCUUGCCCCUGGUGGCGAGUGGCGAACGGGUGAGUAAUACAUCGGAACAUGUCCUGUAGUGGGGGAUAGCCCGGCGAAAGCCGGAUUAAUACCGCAUACGAUCCACGGAUGAAAGCGGGGGACCUUCGGGCCUCGCGCUAUCGGGUUGGCCGAUGGCUGAUUAGCUAGUUGGUGGGGUAAAGGCCUACCAAGGCGACGAUCAGUAGCUGGUCUGAGAGGACGACCAGCCACACUGGGACUGAGACACGGCCCAGACUCCUACGGGAGGCAGCAGUGGGGAAUUUUGGACAAUGGGCGAAAGCCUGAUCCAGAAAUGCCGCGUGUGUGAAGAAGGCCUUCGGGUUGUAAAGCACUUUUGUCCGGAAAGAAAUCCUUGACUCUAAUACAGUCGGGGGAUGACGGUACCGGAAGAAUAAGCACCGGCUAACUACGUG